AAGACCUUGCGCUUUUGGAGCGGCCGAUGUCUGAUUAGCUUGUUGGUGAGGUAAAAGCUUACCAAGGCUUCGAUCAGUAGCUGGUCUGAGAGGACGGCCAGCCACACUGGGACUGAGACACGGCCCAGACUCCUACGGGAGGCAGCAGUGGGGAAUUUUGGACAAUGGGGGCAACCCUGAUCCAGCCAUGCCGCGUGAGUGAAGAAGGCCUUCGGGUUGUAAAGCYCUUUCAGCCGGAACGAAACGGUUACGGUUAAUACCCGUGACUACUGACGGUACCGGAAGAAGAAGCACCGGCUAACUACGUGCCAGCAGCCGCGGUAAUACGUAGGGUGCAAGCGUUAAUCGGAAUUACUGGGCGUAAAGCGUGCGCAGGUGGUUUUGUAAGUCAGAUGUGAAAUCCCCGGGCUUAACCUGGGAACU
RNAcentral lists this ribosomal RNA (423 nucleotides) under uncultured bacterium. RNAcentral's name for it is "bacterial SSU rRNA". It matches the Rfam family "Bacterial small subunit ribosomal RNA", at positions 207 to 622 of the family's 1533-position model. The record is from RNAcentral.